AUACGGAGGAUGCGAGCGUUAUCUGGAUUUAUUGGGUUUAAAGGGAGCGUAGGUGGGACAUUAAGUCAGCUGUGAAAGUUUGGGGCUCAACCUUAAAAUUGCAGUUGAUACUGGUUUCCUUGAGUACGGUACAGGUGGGCGGAAUUCGUGGUGUAGCGGUGAAAUGCUUAGAUAUCACGAAGAACUCCGAUCGCGAAGGCAGCUCACCGGGCCGGAACUGACACUGAUGCUCGAAAGUGCGGGUAUCAAACAGGAUUAGAUACCCUGGUAGUCCGCACAGUAAACGAUGAAUACUCGCUGUUUGCGAUACACGGUAAGCGGCCAAGCGAAAGCGUUAAGUAUUCCACCUGGGGAGUACGCCGGCAACGGUGAAACUCAAAUGAAUUGGCGGGG
Molecule: ribosomal RNA, 393 nt
Filed under: uncultured bacterium
Lineage: Bacteria
Description: partial 16S ribosomal RNA
Rfam family: Bacterial small subunit ribosomal RNA
Source: RNAcentral